RNAcentral lists this long non-coding RNA (697 nucleotides) under Homo sapiens (human). RNAcentral's name for it is "non-protein coding lnc-ODC1-2:1". Lineage: Eukaryota; Metazoa; Chordata; Mammalia; Primates; Hominidae. The record is from RNAcentral.
GAAGAAAAGGGAAAAGGGCUGUCCCCAUCCUUCUAAGGAGAUGGUGCAGUGGCUCACCUUUGGGAGGCCGAGGCAGGCAGAUCACUUGAGCUCAGCAGUUUGAGACCAGCCUGGGUAACAUAGUGAAACCCCAUCUCUACAGAAAUUAAAAAAUUAGCCAGACAUGGCGGCGCACACCUGUGGUCCCAGCUACUCAGGAGGCUGCGGCAGAAGUAUGCCUUGAGCCAAAGAGGCAGAGAUUGCAGUGAGCCAAGAUCAUGCUACUGCACUCCAGCCUGGGCAACGAAGCAAGACUGUCUCAGGAAAAAAAAAAAAAAUGAUCAUUUUUCUCUGUCCACUUGGUGGGUCAACUGAAUGGUAUUCCUGUGUCUUCUACUCUCCUCCCACUUGGAAACCCACUGAGAUGCUCUUCCGAAGGCCAGUGCAUGCUGGGCCACACGAGACAGAGCUCAGGCUGGAGGAGCCUCAUACCCGCCCCUCUAGAUGCUUAUAAAAAUACUUCCCACCUUUGAAUCAAGUGGAAAAUGAGGCUCUCCAGUCAAAAGCCGCGACUGUAUAGAAAGCCCUGAGUUGCCCAAUCUGUUCACAUGGCAUCACCAACCUCUGUGUCAUCAUCAAGCUGUCCAGGGGACUCGAUGGCCACCUGGCCAGGAACUGCGGGCUGAUUGGAAGCUGUUGUUCCCAUUGUAUAAUCACA